This 381-nucleotide ribosomal RNA is filed under the name uncultured bacterium. Its description in RNAcentral is "bacterial SSU rRNA". It matches the Rfam family "Bacterial small subunit ribosomal RNA", at positions 28 to 410 of the family's 1533-position model. The record is from RNAcentral.
GAUGAACGCUGGCGGCGUGCUUAACACAUGCAAGUCGAACGUGAAGAAGCAGCAAUGUUUCUGAAAGUGGCGGACGGGUGAGUAACACGUGGGUGACCUGCCUUGCAGAGGGGGAUAACGAGGGGAAACCUUCGCUAAUACCGCAUAGGCUUACACUGAUGGGAAUGGUGUGGGUAAAACUGAGGUGCUGCAAGAGGGGCCUGCGUCCGAUUAGCUAGUUGGUGAGGUAAUGGCUCACCAAGGCGAUGAUCGGUAGCUGGUCUGAGAGGACGAUCAGCCACACGGGAACUGAGAAACGGUCCCGACGUCCUACGGGGGGCAGCAGUGAGGAAUAUUGGGCAAUGGACGAAAGUCUGACCCAGCAACGCCGCGUGGAGGAUG